This 253-nucleotide ribosomal RNA is filed under the name uncultured bacterium. RNAcentral's name for it is "partial 16S ribosomal RNA". It matches the Rfam family "Bacterial small subunit ribosomal RNA", at positions 524 to 776 of the family's 1533-position model. The record is from RNAcentral.
UACGGAGGAGGCAAGCGUUAUCCGGAAUUAUUGGGCGUAAAGCGUCCGCAGGUGGCACUUCAAGUCUGUCGUCAAAGACUGGGGCUUAACCCUGGAAAGGCGGUGGAAACUGAAGCGCUAGAGUGCGGUAGGGGUAGAGGGAAUUCCCGGUGUAGCGGUGAAAUGCGUAGAUAUCGCUUGGAACGCCAAUGGUGAAAACAGGUUGCUGGGGGUGUGCUGACGCUGAGACACGAAAGCCAGGGGAGCGAACGGG